GCAAGCAGCUAUACCACUGGGAGUUCAGACUAGGUAACCCAUGUGUAGCUCAGCAGGUUUGGCCAGUGCUUGGAUGGGAGACCUAGGAAACUAGGAAAGCUGGUUUGCU
This 109-nucleotide ribosomal RNA is filed under the name Paramormyrops kingsleyae. The record is from RNAcentral. Lineage: Eukaryota; Metazoa; Chordata; Actinopteri; Osteoglossiformes; Mormyridae.